Molecule: ribosomal RNA, 274 nt
Filed under: uncultured bacterium
Lineage: Bacteria
Description: partial 16S ribosomal RNA
Rfam family: Bacterial small subunit ribosomal RNA
Source: RNAcentral
CUACGGAGGGUGCAAGCGUUAAUCGGAAUUACUGGGCGUAAAGGGCGCGUAGGCGGUCUAUCAAGUCAGUUGUGAAAUCCCACGGCUCAACCGUGGAGGUGCAUCUGAAACUGAUAGACUUGAGUAUGGGAGAGGAAAGUGGAAUUCCCGGUGUAGAGGUGAAAUUCGUAGAUAUCGGGAGGAACACCAGUGGCGAAGGCGACUUUCUGGACCAAUACUGACGCUGAGGCGCGAAAGCGUGGGGAGCAAACAGGAUUAGAAACCCCAGUAGUCC